GUUUCCGUAGCUCAGCUGGAUAGAGCGACCGCCUCCUAAGCGGUAGGUCGGGUGUUCAAAUCACCUCGGGAACGC
Molecule: transfer RNA, 75 nt
Filed under: uncultured Eubacterium sp.
Lineage: Bacteria; Bacillati; Bacillota; Clostridia; Eubacteriales; Eubacteriaceae
Description: tRNA-Arg(cct)
Rfam family: tRNA
About the family: Transfer RNA (tRNA) molecules are approximately 80 nucleotides in length. Their secondary structure includes four short double-helical elements and three loops (D, anti-codon, and T loops).
Source: RNAcentral